UUUGAAGCAGCAUAGACCUUAUCAUUGACGUAAAUCACUUGUCAGCAAAUUUUUAGUCUGCUCUCUUUAGCCAUGUUCAAAAAUUUUGCACACAUAGGUAUUUAUUCAAUCGGCCUUUUAUAACCCGGCAUUUUUACGAAUUCCCAAAAUGAUAACUUAAUGCAGACAGGAAGGCUGGUUGACGGUUGUUCUCAUCACAAUGCAAUAUCAGAAAUGAAAAUUUACUCUUCAACAAUGAAAAUACUAACUACCACUGUGGAAAUAAGUGUGGAUUUGGAUAUGCGGGUGAUCUGCGCUACGUUCGCUAUUGCUCUACUCCUUCCACUUCUGUUCAGCUACUUGCGAAGAUAUCUCUACGGCAUCGCAUUUCGGGAAUAAUGGUCGCAGUUCGUCACUGCAUGCACGGUUCAGUUAGAGGAUGAUUACAGCCACCGCCGGAUCUUAGCGGACAGCAGUGAACAACCAUAGACACCGCUGGACAAUAGCAGAUACUAUCCGGACAACACGGACGGCGGGUACCGGACUACAGCAAAUAUCACCGGCAGGACAGCAGUGGACACCGGACAACAGCAGACAGUGGACAGCAAUGGACACUGCCGAACAGCGGUGAACAUAUUGGACAGCAGCGGACAAAGGGCAGCACCAGACAGAAGCGAACACCGAAAAGUGACGGACACUGGAUAGAAGUGGACACCGGCAAGAUGUGGGCACCCGUCCGACGAAAAACGGACACCAGUCGCUGCUGACCGAGUACCGACCGAGGGUCCAUGGGUUAGUUCGACCCAUGCAGCUACUGCCGCUGACGCCGUGUUUCUGAGCUCCAGACAGGGAACGCACAGUCUUUUAUGUCGAAUUUCUUGCAACAACUAAAUAGCUUGGAUAUAUUACUUUGAGGUGAUUGAUCCAUCCGUCAUAUCUACAUUUUCUCCACGGAUUAGCACGUUUCUGAUGACCGUCACCCGUCAGGUCAGGUUACUAAAAUCAUCCGCUGCCGGGACGGUCACGAGUCUAAUAGUGAAAGCCCAUGGCAUACCUUCAUCCGCUUUCCGUUGACGAUAUUUCAGCCUCAACGCAAUUAGAACACUGAAACAAUAGAAAUGAGAGGACGAGGAA
Molecule: long non-coding RNA, 1113 nt
Organism: Amphibalanus amphitrite
Lineage: Eukaryota; Metazoa; Arthropoda; Thecostraca; Balanomorpha; Balanidae
Exons: 2
Source: RefSeq, a predicted model, not a curated record